Molecule: long non-coding RNA, 3348 nt
Filed under: Volvox carteri
Lineage: Eukaryota; Viridiplantae; Chlorophyta; Chlorophyceae; Chlamydomonadales; Volvocaceae
Description: long non-coding RNA (VCAR_LNC000880)
Source: RNAcentral
GCUGGUCUUAACAUGUACUGUACGAGGACGGCGUCGUCGCCGUUGUCUCGAGUGUCCGCUUUGAUGAGUCUAAUGUCGGCCGGCGGCGUAGUGCCGGGGACUCCGAUUAUGGGUCCGAUGCCGAUGAGGAGGAGGAUGUUCGCACUAACUUGCCUGGUGAGGGGUCGCUGCCUAGGGCUGGCGAAGGAACAUCAGGCAAUACCGUCGGCGAGGGAUCGCCGCCUUUGGGUGGCGAGGGGGCGCCGGCUGGGGCUGGACCUUCCAGCAGUGCGAACGUGCAAGAUAACACUCCGCCUGAUGUGGAAAUGGCAGGGACCCGGUACCCAGUUAGAGAGUGUAAACGCCCUGGCGAGUGGUGGCGAAACGAGCCUGGUCGCACUGUUACUGGUCGCAUUAAUGCUGCUUUUUCUGCUGUCAUUCCUGAACCGAAUUCGUUUGCGGAAGCAAUUGCGAGUCCACAUGCAGACGAUUGGCGGCGUGCGAUGGACGAGGAGAUCGCCGCCCAGAUGGCUAACAGUACUUGGGAGCUGAAAACGCCACCUCCAGGUACUCAUUUACUGCCGUGUCGUUGGGUGUAUAAGGUUAAGUACAACGAUGACGGCAGCGUGGAGCGUUUUAAGGCGCGAUUGGUUGCAAAGGGUUUCGAGCAACGCGAGGGGAUUGAUUAUGGGGAGUUGUUUGCACCUACCUCACGUGGUUCGUCAUUACGUGCUUUAUUAGCAGUUGCCGCAGCGCGGAACAUGACGGUACACCAGCUUGAUGUGUCUACUGCAUUUUUGAACGGCGAGUUGAAGGAGGAGUUGUGGAUGCAGCAACCACCUGGGUAUGAAUCCAGUGACCGGUCGCUUGCGUGGAAGCUGGAGAGGUCUAUUUACGGUUUGAAGCAGGCACCCCGUUGCUGGUAUGAAAAGCUAUCGGCAGAGUUCGCCAAGCUGGGUCUUUAUCCUUCGAAGUCUGAUCCGGCGAUGUUCGUUAAGACGGACGAGCGUGGGGUCGUUAUUGCUUUGGUGCAUGUAGAUGAUACCAUUGUUGCAUCAGAAGACCCAGACAUGGUCCGGGCAAUUAAAGCCGCAAUUGCGAAGGUCUUCAAGGUGCGUGACCUUGGAGAAGCGAAGGUGUUUGGGGGCAUGGAAAUUUCGGAGGGAAAAAUCGGGUGAGAUAGUGUUGUCGCAGCAUAGGUAUAUUGAGCAGCUGUUGGAGCGUCAUAGGAUGGUUGAUGCCAAGCCGAGGUCUACCCCUUUGCCUCCGGGCUUUAGGUACACUCCUAAGGGGGACGGAGAGGAGCUGCUGGGCAAUCCCACGGAGUAUAGGGCUUUGGUGGGAGAAUUGAACUAUCUGGCGACGAACACGCGGCCUGACAUUUCGUAUGCCUUGAGCGUUUUGUCCCGGCAUAUGGCCACACCUACGAAGACUGCCAUGAACUUGGCCACUGGCGUUCUGCGUUACCUGGCGGGUACUCGCGAACUAGGAUUGCGUUUUGGGGGUGUUGGCGGUGUUGCAAUGUCCGGGUACAGUGAUUCGGACUGGGCAGGAGACCCAGUUACGAGGCGUUCUACGUCCGGUUACGUAUUCACUCUUAAUGGGGCUGCGAUUAGUUGGAGCAGCCAACUUCAACGUACUGUGGCGGCUUCGUCGGUGGAGGCCGAGUACCAAGCUACAGCGGCGGCUGUUCGUGAAGCUUUGUGGCUUCGCAAGCUGAUGGUCGAUUUGGGCUUGCCUGAGAGCGCGGUGAAAAUCCAGACAGACUCCCAGGGGGCGCUUAGCUUGGGAAACAACCCGAUUACGUCUGCUCGGUCGAAACACAUCGACGUGCAGCACCACAUAGUGCGUGAGAGGGUGAAUAGCGGGGAGGUGCAGUUGGAGUACUGCCCUACAGAGUGGAUGGUAGCGGAUGCGCUCACGAAGGCACUGGGAGAAGUGAAGUUCAAACGGUGCAGAGAAGCUAUGGGCCUUGUGUGAAGUGCCCAUUGGCGUAGCAAAUGUGCUACUGUGAGUUGGGAUAUGUCCCGAGGGGGCGUGUUGAAGGGCGGUCCUAUCCCAACGUAGAUAAUUGGUAGUUAGGCGAUGAUUCCACCAUGAUAGGCGAUGCCUCGGACGUGCAUCGACCUUGCCUCGGCCGUGCCUAGACCUUGCCUCGGCCAUGCCUAGACUUGCCUCGGCCGUACCUCGACCUUGCCUCGGGUCUCUCGGCCGCGUAUCUCGGACGUGACCUCAGGUCCAGGGAUGGUGGACAUCUGUACGAUACUUCCAUUGGUACUGGUAUAUAAGGCACGAGUUGUGCUAGUCUUUGUAUCUCAUCUUUGUAUGGAUCGGUAUUCCUCAGUAGGAAUCUCCUAAAGUCUUCCAGCCGUUUACCACUCACCUACCGAUUGUAAUACUUAUAUCGCGACCAGUCUCCUUGCCUCCUUCAUAUUCUUAACAGUUGCUUGUUACUGUGUCCUGAGCUGCUGUUAGCCGGCCCCCGGCUACCAGAAGUAGAAGCGCCGAACGUUGCACCGCCGACCGCCAACCGCCGACAGACGCCGACAGGCUGCCGACUCGGUAGGCUUGCCCGACCCACCGUUAGCCGUCUCGAUUGAGAGAAGCUUUGCUGUGACGUUCGCCAUGUCCAAAUCGCCGUCGCGCAUUAGUAAUGUAGUCGUCACCACGCUGUACCGACUGGGUAGACCAACUAGGACGGUGUACGCCAGCUCGGAGUCGUUAAUUACGUGGCCGACACCCAACAAGUCCGUUUUCAGCUGCCUUGCACGCGCAAAGUACAUCGGANNNNNNNNNNNNNNNNNNNNNNNNNNNNNNNNNNNNNNNNNNNNNNNNNNCUCAUAUACCAGUGAAUGGUAACCACAGUAAUAGGACCCAACGGGGUCCGGCGCUUUGCUGGUCUUAACAUGUACUGUACGAGGACGGCGUCGUCGCCGUUGUCUCGAGUGUCCGCUUUGAUGAGUCUAAUGUCGGCCGGCGGCGUAGUGCCGGGGACUCCGAUUAUGGGUCCGAUGCCGAUGAGGAGGAGGAUGUUCGCACUAACUUGCCUGGUGAGGGGUCGCUGCCUAGGGCUGGCGAAGGAACAUCAGGCAAUACCGUCGGCGAGGGAUCGCCGCCUUUGGGUGGCGAGGGGGCGCCGGCUGGGGCUGGACCUUCCAGCAGUGCGAACGUGCAAGAUAACACUCCGCCUGAUGUGGAAAUGGCAGGGACCCGGUACCCAGUUAGAGAGUGUAAACGCCCUGGCGAGUGGUGGCGAAACGAGCCUGGUCGCACUGUUACUGGUCGCAUUAAUGCUGCUUUUUCUGCUGUCAUUCCUGAACCGAAUUCGUUUGCGGAAGCAAUUGCGAGUCCACAUGCAGACGAUUGGCG